GUUUUAAGUACGUAUUAAUAAUGAUAAUAUGUAUAAAAGUCUUGACCAAUUACGUGCCAGCAGUCGCGGUAAUACGUAGGAGACGAGCAUUAUUCAUAUUAAAUAGGUUUAAAGGGUACCCAAACGGUCAAAAUACCUGAAAUAUAGGAGUACUUGACUAGAGUUAUAUGUAAGAAGACCGUACUUGAGGUGGAGAGAUUAUAUUUUAUGAUACCAAAAGGACUGAUAACGGCGAAGGCUGUCUUUUAUGUAAUAACUGACGUUGAAGGACGAAGGCAUAGAUAACUAACAGGAUUCGUUACCCUAGUAGUCUUUGCAGACAAUGAUGAAUGCCAUUAACUAGAUACUAAUUUUAGUUAUAUAAAUGAAAAUGAAAGCAUUUCACCUCAAGAGUAAUGUGGCAACGC
Molecule: ribosomal RNA, 407 nt
Filed under: Colletotrichum kahawae
Lineage: Eukaryota; Fungi; Ascomycota; Sordariomycetes; Glomerellales; Glomerellaceae
Also listed under: 1 other name
Description: SSU rRNA
Rfam family: Bacterial small subunit ribosomal RNA
Source: RNAcentral